CCCGCCCGGGUCCGUGGUUGCGUCGGGGCCGCCGAACUCUUGGUGGCUUCCCGGCAAGCCGAUGCCAGCCGCAGGCGAAACGGCCCACGUAAGGCGACUCCUCGUCGACCGAUCACGGUGCGGCUUAGACGUAAGUCCUGCCUCGGUGGACGGGUCCGAUGCCCGUCGCUCCGGGAGAAGGGGAGUAGUGGCGCGGAUCACCAUGAGGGCCGCGAAACCCUCCGCAGGCGGAUGUGGGGACGAAGACCAGGUCGGCCGGGCGGG
Molecule: non-coding RNA, 264 nt
Filed under: unclassified sequences
Description: raiA RNA
Rfam family: raiA RNA
Source: Rfam by way of RNAcentral